UACGGAGGGGGCUAGCGUUGUUCGGAAUUACUGGGCGUAAAGCGUACGUAGGCGGCUUUGUAAGUUAGAGGUGAAAGCCCGGAGCUCAACUUCGGAAUAGCCUUUAAGACUGCAUCGCUUGAACGUCGGAGAGGUGAGUGGAAUUCCGAGUGUAGAGGUGAAAUUCGUAGAUAUUCGGAAGAACACCAGUGGCGAAAGGCGGCUCACUGGACGACUGUUGACGCUGAGGAGCGAAAGCGUGGGGAGCAAACAGG
This 254-nucleotide ribosomal RNA is filed under the name uncultured bacterium. Its description in RNAcentral is "partial 16S ribosomal RNA". It matches the Rfam family "Bacterial small subunit ribosomal RNA", at positions 524 to 776 of the family's 1533-position model. The record is from RNAcentral.